Molecule: long non-coding RNA, 479 nt
Organism: Bos taurus (domestic cattle)
Lineage: Eukaryota; Metazoa; Chordata; Mammalia; Artiodactyla; Bovidae
Source: Ensembl
GUUGAGAAGAGUCAGAGAAUGCACAUACUCACAAAUAAGGAAGGCCAACAUUUUUGCCUUCCUGACCUCCUUGCAAUCCUGCCAGGACACAUCAUAAGACAAGAAAGAGAAAAUCUGAAACCUGUCAUGGAUUAUUUGGCUAAGGCGUAUCAACUGCCACAACAACGGGUAUAGAAGAAAGGAAGCGUGAUGGAAGGAAAGGACUGGAUGAAUCAGAAAUCUGCAUUAGGGGAAAAUGCUGGAGGAUGUCUGGCCUGGGAUUCAUGAGAGAGCCAGAGUGAGCAAGACACGUUUUGAAGUACACUUGCUCCUGUAUGCCAAUAUUCUCAUCUUCCUGUGAGAGAUCUAUUCAGGUUUGGAUCUACUUUACCUAAGUUAUAAAUUCAAGUCUCUGAUGAUUAUUCUAUCCAUUUUCAUCUUUUAGGUCUAACCUCGGUUUUGUUGUAAUACUUGCCAUUCUUUCCUUUUUGACAAGUAUA